This 549-nucleotide ribosomal RNA is filed under the name uncultured bacterium. Its description in RNAcentral is "bacterial SSU rRNA". It matches the Rfam family "Bacterial small subunit ribosomal RNA", at positions 825 to 1374 of the family's 1533-position model. The record is from RNAcentral.
GGAUCCUUUCCGGGAUUCAGUGCCGCAGCUAACGCAUUAAGCACUCCGCCUGGGGAGUACGACCGCAAGGUUGAAACUCAAAGGAAUUGACGGGGGCCCGCACAAGCGGUGGAGCANGUGGUUUAAUUCGAAGCAACGCGAAGAACCUUACCAGGUCUUGACAUCCCGAUGCUAUUUCUAGAGAUAGGAAGUUACUUCGGUACAUCGGUGACAGGUGGUGCAUGGUUGUCGUCAGCUCGUGUCGUGAGAUGUUGGGUUAAGUCCCGCAACGAGCGCAACCCCUAUUGUUAGUUGCCAUCAUUCAGUUGGGCACUCUAGCGAGACUGCCGGUAAUAAACCGGAGGAAGGUGGGGAUGACGUCAAAUCAUCAUGCCCCUUAUGACCUGGGCUACACACGUGCUACAAUGGUUGGUACAACGAGUUGCGAGUCGGUGACGGCGAGCUAAUCUCUUAAAGCCAAUCUCAGUUCGGAUUGUAGGCUGCAACUCGCCUACAUGAAGUCGGAAUCACUAGUAAUCGCGGAUCAGCACGCCGCGGUGAAUACGUUCC